This 807-nucleotide non-coding RNA is filed under the name Aspergillus oryzae. RNAcentral describes it as "Eukaryotic small subunit ribosomal RNA". It matches the Rfam family "Eukaryotic small subunit ribosomal RNA", at positions 1 to 817 of the family's 1831-position model. The record is from Rfam by way of RNAcentral. Lineage: Eukaryota; Fungi; Ascomycota; Eurotiomycetes; Eurotiales; Aspergillaceae.
UAUCUGGUUGAUUCUGCCAGUAGUCAUAUGCUUGUCUCAAAGAUUAAGCCAUGCAUGUCUAAGUAUAAGCACUUUAUACUGUGAAACUGCGAAUGGCUCAUUAAAUCAGUUAUCGUUUAUUUGAUAGUACCUUACUACAUGGAUACCUGUGGUAAUUCUAGAGCUAAUACAUGCUAAAAACCUCGACUUCGGAAGGGGUGUAUUUAUUAGAUAAAAAACCAAUGCCCUUCGGGGCUCCUUGGUGAUUCAUAAUAACUUAACGAAUCGCAUGGCCUUGCGCCGGCGAUGGUUCAUUCAAAUUUCUGCCCUAUCAACUUUCGAUGGUAGGAUAGUGGCCUACCAUGGUGGCAACGGGUAACGGGGAAUUAGGGUUCGAUUCCGGAGAGGGAGCCUGAGAAACGGCUACCACAUCCAAGGAAGGCAGCAGGCGCGCAAAUUACCCAAUCCCGACACGGGGAGGUAGUGACAAUAAAUACUGAUACGGGGCUCUUUUGGGUCUCGUAAUUGGAAUGAGUACAAUCUAAAUCCCUUAACGAGGAACAAUUGGAGGGCAAGUCUGGUGCCAGCAGCCGCGCGGUAAUUCCAGCUCCAAUAGCGUAUAUUAAAGUUGUUGCAGUUAAAAAGCUCGUAGUUGAACCUUGGGUCUGGCUGGCCGGUCCGCCUCACCGCGAGUACUGGUCCGGCUGGACCUUUCCUUCUGGGGAACCUCAUGGCCUUCACUGGCUGUGGGGGGAACCAGGACUUUUACUGUGAAAAAAUUAGAGUGUUCAAAGCAGGCCUUUGCUCGAAUACAUUAGCAUGGAAUAA